AUGUGCCAAGAUAUUUCAUAAACAUUUGACACAAAGACCCAUCAGCCAUUUUUAACAGCCCAUCCUGCGUCUUUGCACACAUAAACCCGCCCCAGCACGGUUCAGUCAGUCAGUGUGAACAGUUCAGGCUGCCGUAUAAUGUUGCGUUUUGUCGUCUCAGUGGCUGCAUCCCUGUGAAAUGCAGAGGAACGACGCUGGCACAGCGACCACUGCAGUCUGCGCACCGCACUCCGCAAAUCACGCCUCGCUGACUUCCCCUCUAAUUGGUUCCACACAAGCCACCGCGGAGAGCUCACCUGUUUUAAUUGGACUAUCGCGACCAGUUGUCCAAGUGACGUCGGUACGAUUGGUCAGCUUCUUCCAAUUGUCACAGGGAUAUCCGAGGAUUUUCGCGCGAGCCCUAAUUGAGCACAGAAAAGGACUCGAGAGACGCGCAGCUCACCAGGCCGAGAAGACAAGUGAGCCAGUCAUCAGGGAGCAGCGAGCACAGGCAUCUCAGUCUGUGAAUGGAUGAUGGACAGAAAGCUCUGAACGUUUCGAAAUGGACCGCCGCUAACACCCUGAAAUUUGGUGUAAAAAAACAAAUGAUUUGGAGGCAUCUUACGCAGCGCUGAGCUCCAACAUUGACUUUUUACGCGUGGGUAACAACUCUGGAAUCGACUGUUUUCCUCUCUAGACGGCAGUGCUGGAAGCAGGAGCUGCUCAGUCGUUAUUCCUGGCAUCGGCUGGCACGCUGAGACCAUCAGCACUAAAGCCUUUUUUGCGCAAGUGGUCGGUGCGCCCCUGCGUUUGGAGCCAUGGGUUGUACGGUGAGCGCCGAGGAUAAGGCGGCCGCGGAGAGGUCAAAGAUGAUUGACAAAAACCUCCGAGAGGACGGAGAGAAAGCAGCCAGAGAAGUGAAAUUGCUUUUAUUGGGUGCUGGGGAGUCUGGAAAGAGCACCAUUGUAAAGCAGAUGAAGAUCAUCCAUGAAGAUGGCUACUCAGAAGAUGAGUGUAAGCAGUACCGAGCUGUGGUUUAUAGUAACACCAUCCAGUCUAUUAUGGCCAUUGUUAAAGCCAUGGCCAGCCUCAAGAUUGACUACAGCAACCCUUCCAGAGUGGACGAUGCCCAGCAGCUCUUUGCUCUAUCUGCGGCCGCUGAAGAACAGGGCAUUUUUCCCGAUGACCUGUCCAAUGUGAUCAAGCGACUGUGGGCUGACAGCGGUAUACAGAGUUGCUUCGCACGGUCGCGAGAAUACCAACUCAAUGAUUCUGCAGCAUAUUACCUGAAUGACCUGGAGAGGAUAGCCAAAGCAGACUACAUCCCCACCCAGCAGGAUGUGCUGCGAACUCGGGUCAAGACUACUGGCAUUGUGGAGACUCAUUUCACUUUCAAGGAACUGCACUUCAAAAUGUUUGAUGUAGGAGGCCAACGCUCAGAGAGAAAGAAGUGGAUUCACUGUUUUGAAGGAGUCACAGCUAUUAUCUUUUGCGUUGCGCUGAGUGCUUAUGACCUGGUGCUAGCUGAGGAUGAGGAGAUGAAUCGAAUGCAUGAAAGCAUGAAGCUUUUUGACUCCAUCUGCAACAACAAGUGGUUCACAGAGACCUCCAUCAUCCUCUUCCUGAACAAGAAGGAUCUCUUUGAAGAGAAGAUUACUCGCAGCCCUCUUGCCAUCUGCUUCCCAGAGUACACAGGAGCCAACAAAUUUGAUGAAGCAGCUAGUUACAUCCAGACCAAGUUUGAGGACCUGAACAAGAAAAAGGACACCAAGGAGAUCUACACCCACUUCACCUGUGCCACUGACACCAAGAACGUGCAGUUUGUCUUUGACGCUGUCACUGACGUCAUUAUUAAGAACAACCUGAAAGACUGUGGUCUUUUCUGAAGCACAACUUGUAGUGGACUUUCAACAAACUGACUGUGGUUGUGGUCAUUACACCUGCCUUUUUGGUGCAACCUGCCAGGUCACAUUAACUGUCAGGUGUUUGCUCCCAGGUCAGAUUCAGUUUCAAAAUCCACUGCCUAAUGUGGUCUGUCUCCCAUUCCUGCAUAAAUUUAGCAUGUGUGGGCAUAAAUCUGGCCACAGUGUGGAUAUUGAAAACAACCUCAUGCAUUUAUCACACCACCUACCGACUUGCCUCACAAAGCCAGGCAUGAUUCGGUCGGACUUGAGUUUUUCAAAUGGCAUUACUGUGAUCACAAAUAAACCGAUACUCCAAAAAUGGAAUAUGACAUCCCCAAACCUUAGCAAAUAAAACCAAAAAUCAACCUCCCAUCCUUUAUUACUAUAACAUUGCAUGUUGUGUUUAGUAAGUGUAAUGUAAACUGAUUCAAGCGUUUGUGAUUUCAUUGCUGAGGACCAGAUUCAGCAGGAUAAAUAAGGAAACAUAAAGUUGAGUGCUGGACAAUUCCCAACACACACAGACUGCAACAGCCAUGAGAUGAUUACUGCUUUUCAUAAUGAAAACCAUAACAGACUUGAUUCCUAGAGGGGAAACCUGAAAGAAUUUCAACAAUCACUGAUUUGCAACCAUCACAUUCUCUGUCUAAUGUGUUAUCAUUUUUUAUAUAUAUAUUUCUUACUGCUCUUUAUCAGGGGCCCUCAUACUAUUCAUGCUGAGUGCCUGUUAAUAGACAUUUGACCAAGGAUAACCUAAUUGGACGAGAACCUCUAACAAUCAAGGGCACUCACAGUAGAAUUGCAGUUUUUAUAUUAGAUUUGUAACAUAAAUUAUAUUAGCCAACUGGCUCAAGUAGAAAAUAAUUGUUGGAAGAGUAAACGUAUAAUAAUAACUCAUUAUUUCAUCAUUGCAAAUAGCAAAAGAAAAUGCACAAAAUUAAAAGCAUUUUUCAUCCUUAAUAUCUGCAAGAACCAGUUUGAGAACCACUUGCUUAUUUUUUUUUUUUAAUUUUAGGUUUUCAUUUUCCUUUCCAUUUUGCUUUUGAAGGUUAACAAGAGGAUACAGUACAAAAAAACACACCUUUUUAUAAAAAUCACAUUAACUUAUGUUAACUAAUGUUGGCAUUUUAUGAAACCUUUGACUGCACAGAGCUUAUUUUUAGAAGAAAACAAACAUGCAUGGAGAAUGGAAAUGGAUGAAAGCAAAUUGUUUUUUGUACAAUGUUUACACAGAAUCAAUAUUCACAGUUGUACUAUAGUGCAUUGUUCUGCAUGACUGUCCAUAGAUUAGCCUGUACCCUCCCACAGACUGAAUAACAUUCCUUAAGUAACUUCUUUAAAGAAACAAAACAAAAAUGGCUAUGUGUCACUUUUAAGAUAUCUGCAAGAUUUUUAAGUGGUUAUGUCUUUUCCUAACAUAGAUUGUUCUGUACAAUUCGUUUCAUUCCGAGUCUUUUUACAUAUGUUUGUGCCUUGAUAUCUGUUUACACUUGUUCUUUAGAGACAUGCUAUCUUGAGAGUGUGAAUUAGGGCUAUUUCUACUCCACUUCAGUUCACAUAACCCGUCAUUUAAUGCACAACAACACUGAGACAAAUGGAUGAUACUCGUUCAUUGAUAUUAAGAUGAAAGUCAGUCACUUGUUAAAUGUAAAUAAAAGUUUGGUCACAUGA
RNA transcript from Thunnus maccoyii (southern bluefin tuna), 3551 nucleotides. It is a transcript of the gene named guanine nucleotide binding protein (G protein), alpha inhibiting activity polypeptide 2b, with no coding region annotated. The record is from RefSeq and is a predicted model, not a curated record. NCBI's taxonomy places the organism in Eukaryota, Metazoa, Chordata, Actinopteri, Scombriformes, Scombridae. The transcript has 10 exons.